CAAAAAUCAAAGAGGGCAGAAGGCAGGAGAGUCCGACAGGGGAUCAGGCAGCGGGGAGUCAAAGGAGGAAGCAAUGGUCGGCAACAGGAAUCAGGUAGGCAGGAGAGUCCGACAGGGGAUCUGGCAACAGGAGGUCAAAGGAGGAGGCUAUGGUCGGCAACAGGAAUCUAGAACAAGACAAGGUUUUAGUACAGGAUCUCUCACAAGGACAGUAGGUGACCAUCUGGCAGGGAUGCAGAGACUGGGUAG
Long non-coding RNA from Melanotaenia boesemani (Boeseman's rainbowfish), 249 nucleotides. RefSeq lists it as uncharacterized. The transcript is spliced from 3 exons. Lineage: Eukaryota; Metazoa; Chordata; Actinopteri; Atheriniformes; Melanotaeniidae. The record is from RefSeq and is a predicted model, not a curated record.